Long non-coding RNA from Cuculus canorus (common cuckoo), 710 nucleotides. RefSeq lists it as uncharacterized. The record is from RefSeq and is a predicted model, not a curated record. NCBI's taxonomy places the organism in Eukaryota, Metazoa, Chordata, Aves, Cuculiformes, Cuculidae. The transcript has 4 exons.
AGGACCUGCUUUUCCUAAACCCAUGUUGACUGGGCCUGAUCACCUGGUUAUCCUUUAAGUGCCAUGUGAUGGCACUCAAGAUGAUCUGCUCCUGGCACUGAGGUCAGGCUGACAGGCCUGUAGUUUCCCAGAUCCUCCUUCUGGCCCUUCCUGUAGAUGAGUGUCACAUCAUUGGCUAAUCUCCUGUCAACUGAUACCUCUCCAGUUAUCCAGGACUUCCAGUGUUAUAGAAGAACAGCAUCAUCAUAGAAGAAAAAGAUCAUCAAACACAGGAAGCUGCUGAAAGAUAUGGAAAUGAAAAUAUAUUUGAUCCUUUUCAUGUGACAAAAAUGUCAAGCCAGGCUUGUGAAGUCCUUCUGUACUCUGCUUUUCACCAGUCCCAGCACAUCUUUCCACCAUUUGUGAGUUUUAGCUUCAAAACACUCCUGUGAAGUACAAGCUCUGCUUGUUAAGUGAAGAGUCAAGGCAUGGGACCCAACCACCUGAAACCUUCAGUGACUGAAAUCUCAAAGACUGAGAAGUCUCAAUGCCAUCACAGAGUCCGUAUGGUCUGGAGUGUCCUGCUGUGACACCUUCAAAACGCAGCCACAUCAGUGGGAUCGCCAGCAAGUACCGUAGAGCAGCAGCUUCUUGGCAGCAGCUGGGAUACCUGUCCAGGAAUGAGAGAAUUCUCAAGCCCUCUCUGCAUAGCCAAAAUCACGUGGAGUAGG